This is a long non-coding RNA of Folsomia candida, 312 nucleotides long. RefSeq lists it as uncharacterized. The transcript has 3 exons. The record is from RefSeq and is a predicted model, not a curated record. Lineage: Eukaryota; Metazoa; Arthropoda; Collembola; Entomobryomorpha; Isotomidae.
AAAGGCCUACAGUAAAUUGGGACUGGUACUGGUAAAUGACGUCCAGCUUGACUGUCUGAAGAUUGACUUCUCGAGUGUUGAGAGCUGUCCGAACCGCUUGCAUUGGAUAAGUUGGGUGGGUUGGAUUUUGCAGGAAAUUCGCCCUGUGUAAUGACUAAAAGCGGCCAAAAAUUAAAAUCUGGAAUGCCAGUAUACCUGCAUUCUCCCAUCGUCCUUCCGCACAUGGGCCUUGAUUUUGUUGUAGGUCGCAGUAUCACGCCGCUGUUGUGGUUCCCCCAAUCGACGCAGUUGCAAUUUAUCGGCAGAGCUACG